RNAcentral lists this ribosomal RNA (1050 nucleotides) under Triticum aestivum (bread wheat). RNAcentral describes it as "partial small subunit ribosomal RNA". The record is from RNAcentral. Lineage: Eukaryota; Viridiplantae; Streptophyta; Magnoliopsida; Poales; Poaceae.
AUGCGGAGCUUCAAAGAGUGUGGAUGUUCAGUAGCGUGCAUUGGGGUGCCUGAAAGUUUGACGGCGUGCGGGUUGCCUGAUGGUGUGCAGAUGCUUGAUAGCCUACAAAACUUGAUGCACUUCAUGAGGCAGGAGGAAGCCAUCAAAGCAAUGGAUCAUUUUGAAGGAGGACAGGAGUACAAUAGGAUUAGCAAGAGGUCUCUUAAGAACUGGAUGGUGAAUGCAUUUAGAGAGCGCAAAGCUCUUGCCCUAACACUUAAUGAUACAAAAAUUGCAGUAUCCACGCUCAACCAGACGACUAAUGUUGUUGGCGGCAUCAUCGUGUUUGUUCUUUGGCUUUUUAUUCUUAGCAUAGCAACGACGAAUUUUCUUGUCUUCCUCAGUUCACCGUUUUUGGUGGCAAUUAUUGUACUUGGAGACGCUUUGAAAUCAAUUUUUGAGGCAAUUGUUUUCUUAUUCGUGAUGCAUCCUUUUGAUGUUGGUGACCGCUGUGAAAUUGAGGAAGUUCAGGUCGUUGUUGAGGAAAUGAAUAUCUUGACAACAGUCUUUCUCCAAUAUGACAACCUGAAGAUAUACUAUCCAAACAACAUACUGGCGACCAUACCGAUUAUGAACUUUUACAGGAGUCCGGAUAUGGGAGAAGGAAUUGACUUCUAUAUUCACGUUGCCACACCGGUGAAACUAGCAGUAAUGAAGGAAAUAAUACGACGUUACAUCACCAACAAGAAAGAGCACUGGUACCCCGGGGCGAUGGUUGUCCUCCGUGAUGUAGAUGAGACCAACAAGCUAAAAGUAUCCAUAUGGCUCUGUCACACCCUCAAUUUCCAUGACAUGGGGAUCCGGUACGUGAGGAGGGAGCUGAAACAUUGUGGUAUAUGGAUGAUCGCCUCAGGUUGCCUAAACAGACUGACUCAAAUGUGCAACCCCAUUACAAUCACCAUUUCCCAGCCCUUUAGGGUGGCCCUUGAAAUCGACCAAGGAGAGCUACCAUGGGCCAUGAUGGUUCACCAGGGGUGCCGACGGAGCCACCUUGAUACCUUUGAUGUGUGA